Molecule: ribosomal RNA, 142 nt
Filed under: uncultured Mycena
Lineage: Eukaryota; Fungi; Basidiomycota; Agaricomycetes; Agaricales; Tricholomataceae
Description: partial 28S ribosomal RNA
Rfam family: Eukaryotic large subunit ribosomal RNA
Source: RNAcentral
UUGACCUCAAAUCAGGUAGGACUACCCGCUGAACUUAAGCAUAUCAAUAAGCGGAGGAAAAGAAACUAACAAGGAUUCCCCUAGUAACUGCGAGUGAAGCGGGAAAAGCUCAAAUUUAAAAUCUGGCGGUCCUGUGGCCGUC